UUUAUGGGGUGACUGCGUACCUUUUGUAUAAUGGGUCAGCGACUUAUAUUUUGUAGCAAGGUUAACCGAAUAGGGGAGCCGUAGGGAAACCGAGUCUUAACUGGGCGUCAAGUUGCAAGGUAUAGACCCGAAACCCGGUGAUCUAGCCAUGGGCAGGUUGAAGGUUGGGUAACACUAACUGGAGGACCGAACCGACUAAUGUUGAAAAAUUAGCGGAUGACUUGUGGCUGGGGGUGAAAGGCCAAUCAAACCGGGAGAUAGCUGGUUCUCCCCGAAAGCUAUUUAGGUAGCGCCUCGUGAACUCAUCUUCGGGGGUAGAGCACUGUUUCGACUAGGGGGUCAUCCCGACUUACCAACUCGAUGCAAACUACGAAUACCGAAGAAUGUUAUCACGGGAGACACACGGCGGGUGCUAACGUCCGUCGUGAAGAGGGAAACAACCCAGACCGCCAGCUAAGGUCCCAAAGUCAUAGUUAAGUGGGAAACGAUGUGGGAAGGCAUAGACAGCCAGGAUGUUGGCUUAGAAGCAGCCAUCAUUUAAAGAAAGCGUAAUAGCUCACUGGUCGAGUCGGCCUGCGCGGAAGAUGUAACGGGGCUAAACUAUGCACCGAAGCUGCGGCAGCGACACUUAGGUGUUGUUGGGUAGGGGAGCGUUCUGUAAGCCUGUGAAGGUGACCUGUGAGGGUUGCUGGAGGUAUCAGAAGUGCGAAUGCUGACAUAAGUAACGAUAAAGCGGGUGAAAAACCCGCUCGCCGGAAGACCAAGGGUUCCUGUCCAACGUUAAUCGGGGCAGGGUGAGUCGACCCCUAAGGCGAGGCCGAAAGGCGUAGUCGAUGGGAAACAGGUUAAUAUUCCUGUACUCGGUGUUACUGCGAAGGGGGGACGGAGAAGGCUAGGCUAUCCGGGCGACGGUUGUCCCGGUUUAAGCGUGUAGGGGGUGUGACUUGGUAAAUCCGGUCGCAUACUAACCCUGAGGCGUGAUGACGAGUCACUACGGUGAUGAAGUAGUUGAUGCCAAGCUUCCAGGAAAAGCCUCUAAGCUCUAGGUAACAUUGAAUCGUACCCCAAACCGACACAGGUGGUCAGGUAGAGAAUACCAAGGCGCUUGAGAGAACUCGGGUGAAGGAACUAGGCAAAAUGGUGCCGUAACUUCGGGAGAAGGCACGCUGGCGCGUAGGUGAAGUCCCUUGCGGAUGGAGCUGAAGCCAGUCGAAGAUACCAGCUGGCUGCAACUGUUUAAUAAAAACACAGCACUGUGCAAACACGAAAGUGGACGUAUACGGUGUGACGCCUGCCCGGUGCUGGAAGGUUAAUUGAUGGGGUCAGCCGCAAGGCGAAGCUCUUGAUCGAAGCCCCAGUAAACGGCGGCCGUAACUAUAACGGUCCUAAGGUAGCGAAAUUCCUUGUCGGGUAAGUUCCGACCUGCACGAAUGGCGUAAUGAUGGCCAGGCUGUCUCCACCCGAGACUCAGUGAAAUUGAACUCGCUGUGAAGAUGCAGUGUACCCGCGGCAAGACGGAAAGACCCCGUGAACCUUUACUAUAGCUUGACACUGAACAUUGAGCCUUGAUGUGUAGGAUAGGUGGGAGGCUUUGAAG
RNAcentral lists this ribosomal RNA (1597 nucleotides) under Hafnia paralvei. Its description in RNAcentral is "bacterial LSU rRNA". It matches the Rfam family "Bacterial large subunit ribosomal RNA", at positions 585 to 2162 of the family's 2925-position model. The record is from RNAcentral. Lineage: Bacteria; Pseudomonadati; Pseudomonadota; Gammaproteobacteria; Enterobacterales; Hafniaceae.